UAGAAAAAGAUAAGAAAGGCUCAAUCUAUU
RNAcentral lists this non-coding RNA (30 nucleotides) under Mus musculus (house mouse). The record is from RNAcentral. Lineage: Eukaryota; Metazoa; Chordata; Mammalia; Rodentia; Muridae.